This 1479-nucleotide ribosomal RNA is filed under the name uncultured bacterium. RNAcentral describes it as "bacterial SSU rRNA". It matches the Rfam family "Bacterial small subunit ribosomal RNA". The record is from RNAcentral.
AGAGUUUGAUCAUGGCUCAGGAUGAACGCUGGCGGCAUGCCUAACACAUGCAAGUCUACGGUCCUUUCUGAUAACAAAGCUUGCUUUGUUUGAAGUUUUAUAGACAGUGGCGAACUGGUGAGUAACAAGUUGGAACCUACCCCUAGCUCAGGGAUAAUCCGUUGAAAAGCGGACUAAUACCGGAUGCCCCCCUUCGGGGGGAAAGCUUCGGCGGCGAGGGAGGGGCCUACUUUCUAUUAGCCUGUUGGUAAGGUAACGGCUUACCAAAGCUAUGAUGGAUAGCUGGUCUGAGAGGAUGAUCAGCCACACUGGGACUGAGAUACGGCCCAGACUCCUACGGGAGGCAGCAGUGAGGAAUAUUCCGCAAUGGGCGAAAGCCUGACGGAGCAAUGCCGCGUGAUCGAUGACGCCCUUCGGGGUGUAAAGAUCUUUUCUAUGGGAAUAAGUUCUGAAGGUACCAUAGGAAUAAGUCACGGCUAAUCACGUGCCAGCAGCCGCGGUAAUACGUGAGUGGCUAGCAUUAUCCGGAAUUAUUGGGCGUAAAGCGUCUGUAGGGGGAAAGUUAAGUGAAUUGUUAAAUCUCUCGACUCAAUCGAGAUCUUGCAGUUCAUACUGGCUUUCUAGAAGAUGGUAGAGGCAAGUGGAAUUCCAGGAGUAGGGGUAAUAUCCGUUGAUACCUGGAGGAACACCAAUAGCGAAGGCAACUUGCUGGGCCAUUCUUGACCCUGAGAGACGAAAGCGUGGGGAGCGAACGGGAUUAGAUACCCCGGUAGUCCACGCCGUAAACGAUGGAUACUAGGCGUAUGAGGCAUCGACCCCUUAUGUGCCGAAGCUAACGCAUUAAGUAUCCCGCCUGGGUAGUACGAUCGCAAGAUUAAAAUCUAAAGGAAUUGACGGGGAUCCACACAAGCGGUGGAGCAUGUGGUUUAAUUCGACAAUAAGCGAAGAACCUUACCAAGGCUUGACAUCUCUGGAAUUCCUCCGAAAGGAGGAAGUGCUCGAAAGAGAACCGGAUGACAGGUGCUGCAUGGUCGUCGUCAGCUCGUGCCGUGAGGUGUACGGUUAAGUCCGAUAACGAGCGCAACCCUUGCCGUUAGUUGUAUUUCUCUAACGGGACUGCCCUGGACAACAGGGAGGAAGGUGGGGAUGACGUCAGAUCAGCAUGGCUCUUACGCCUUGGGCUACACACGUGCUACAAUGGGGUGCACAAUGGGAGGCAAUGGAGUAAUCCGGAGCAAAUCCUCAAAACACCUCGAAGUUCGGAUUGAGGGCUGCAACUCGCCCUCAUGAAGUUGGAAUCGCUAGUAACCGCCAAUCAGCAAUGUGGCGGUGAAUAUGUUCCUGGAUCUUGUACACACCGCCCGUCANGCCAUGGAAGAUGUGGGGCACCAGAAGACGUCUUACACUAACUNUUUNAUGAUGCGGACGGCCAAUGGUGAAACCAUUGNCAUGGGUCGAAGUCGUAACAAGGUANCCGUA